This 290-nucleotide ribosomal RNA is filed under the name uncultured bacterium. Its description in RNAcentral is "partial 16S ribosomal RNA". It matches the Rfam family "Bacterial small subunit ribosomal RNA", at positions 790 to 1084 of the family's 1533-position model. The record is from RNAcentral.
GUAGUCCACGCCCUAAACGAUGAUCACUCGAUGUGUGCGAUACACUGUACGCGUCUGAGCGAAAGCAUUAAGUGAUCCACCUGGGGAGUACGACCGCAAGGUUGAAACUCAAAGGAAUUGACGGGGGCCCGCACAAGCGGAGGAGCAUGUGGUUUAAUUCGAUGAUACGCGAGGAACCUUACCAGGGCUUGAAAGUUAGUGAAGAAUGUGGAAACAUGUUCGUCAGCAAUGACACGAAACUAGGUGCUGCAUGGCUGUCGUCAGCUCGUGCCGUGAGGUGUUGGGUUAAG